Non-coding RNA from Brassica napus (rape), 127 nucleotides. Lineage: Eukaryota; Viridiplantae; Streptophyta; Magnoliopsida; Brassicales; Brassicaceae. The record is from Rfam.
GUAAUAUAACAUACGGUCUAUUAGCUUUUAACUAAAAAAACUAAGAUACGUCACUCUUAUAUCUCUUAUUUAAGAGACGUUUCUUAGCUUUUUUAGUUAAAAGCUAAGAGACCGUAUUUUAUAUUAG